Long non-coding RNA from Cyprinus carpio (common carp), 512 nucleotides. RefSeq lists it as uncharacterized. The transcript has 4 exons. NCBI's taxonomy places the organism in Eukaryota, Metazoa, Chordata, Actinopteri, Cypriniformes, Cyprinidae. The record is from RefSeq and is a predicted model, not a curated record.
GCUGGAGUCUUUAAUAAUGGUGUUAUCUUACAUACUUUAUCUGUGGCUUCCUCAGCAAGUUCCUCUGACACGUCUUUUUCCUCUUUUGAACUGUCUUUUGACAUUGAAAAGCAAAAAUCAAAACCCCGAAAUUAUUAUGAUCAAAGUAGACACAACUCUUAUCCAUCUGGAAGCAACAUUCAUAGAAGCCCUCAGAGACCUUCUUACAGUGGAGGAAGAUGGAAAGAGUGAAGACAGAAAUACAAGUGAUACUGUGAGAGCUUUUCCUGCAGGCUGCUGUAUCCCGUCAGUGCAGUAGCUGCCGUCAGUCACUGAAUAUCCAGAGAGUUUACAGGACAGUGUCAAAACCUGACCAGGACUUAAGACCACAGAAUCAGUCUGGUACAAUAUCGCCACAUAUUCUGAUACUGAGAAGACUGAGAAGAUGUUACUUUUUGGAAAACACCAAAAAGAGACAUUUGCUUUGAUUUACGAUGCAGAGCAGGCAAAGAGAUUACAAUUAUCAACAAGAG